RNAcentral lists this transfer RNA (76 nucleotides) under Alteromonas sp. RNAcentral describes it as "tRNA-Phe". It matches the Rfam family "tRNA". Rfam says of the family: Transfer RNA (tRNA) molecules are approximately 80 nucleotides in length. Their secondary structure includes four short double-helical elements and three loops (D, anti-codon, and T loops). RNAcentral also lists the same sequence under 1414 other names. The record is from RNAcentral. Lineage: Bacteria; Pseudomonadati; Pseudomonadota; Gammaproteobacteria; Alteromonadales; Alteromonadaceae.
GCCCGGAUAGCUCAGUCGGUAGAGCAGAGGAUUGAAAAUCCUCGUGUCGGUGGUUCGAUUCCGCCUCCGGGCACCA